UGGUUUGUUAWCGGUGGUCGGCUCUAUUAAACAACUUCCACCUUACAUUCCUGUUCAUUCGUCCGGUAAGGCUUUAGUUGCCUAAAAAAUUGUGGGUUUCUUGUGUUGCAUACCUUGCGAAGGUAUUUAUGUGGCUUAUCCARUUUCUUUUCAUCUGUCGUCGUGCUUAUGACAUCUGAUGAAACCSUAAACGUGUCUCUCUGAACCGCAUCAUUAAUUCUUGUGUUGAUGUAGUGGAGCAUCGAGACUUGCCUGGUAUCUUUUUGAUGUAGUAACUGAUGUGGGCAUGGGUCUCAUGGGAUCCUUAUUUUGUCCCGGUUUGGUGUUUAAGCUUCGUAAAAUGACUGCUUGACGCGCGUUGUCUAGUACAUCGUGUYAGGCKUUGUCUAURAGGAAUGUUACCUGGU
RNAcentral lists this unclassified non-coding RNA (407 nucleotides) under Ageratum corymbosum. RNAcentral's name for it is "partial contains external transcribed spacer and 18S ribosomal RNA". The record is from RNAcentral. Lineage: Eukaryota; Viridiplantae; Streptophyta; Magnoliopsida; Asterales; Asteraceae.